GAAUAUUGGACAAUGGGCGCAAGCCUGAUCCAGCCAUGCCGCGUGUGUGAAGAAGGCCUUCGGGUUGUAAAGCACUUUCAGCGGGGAGGAAGGGUGUUGUGUUAAUAGCACAGCAUCUUGACGUUACCCGCAGACGAAUCACCGGCCAACUCCGUGCCCGGCGCCGCGGUAAUACGGAGGGUGCAAGCGUUAAGCGGAAUUACUGGGCGUAAAGCGCACGUAGGCGGUAUGUUAAGUUGGAUGUGAAAGCCCCGGGCUCAACCUGGGAAUUGCAUUCAAAACUGGCAUGCUAGAGUAUGUGAGAGGGGGGUAGAAUUCCAAGUGUAGCGGUGAAAUGCGUAGAGAUUUGGAGGAAUACCAGUGGCGAAGGCGGCCCCCUGGCACAAUACUGACGCUCAGGUGCGAAAGCGUGGGGAGCAAACAGG
RNAcentral lists this ribosomal RNA (425 nucleotides) under uncultured bacterium. RNAcentral describes it as "bacterial SSU rRNA". It matches the Rfam family "Bacterial small subunit ribosomal RNA", at positions 359 to 776 of the family's 1533-position model. The record is from RNAcentral.